CCUACGGGAGGCAGCAGUGAGGAAUAUUGGUCAAUGGGCUUACGCCUGAACCAGCCAAGUCGCGUGAGGGAAGACUGCCCUAUGGGUUGUAAACCUCUUUUGUCAGGGAGCAACGCCGGCUAUGUGUAGCCUGACUGAGAGUACCUGAAGAAAAAGCAUCGGCUAACUCCGUGCCAGCAGCCGCGGUAAUACGGAGGAUGCGAGCGUUAUCCGGAUUUAUUGGGUUUAAAGGGUGCGUAGGCGGACUGCUAAGUCAGCGGUAAAAUCGUGGGGCUCAACCCCAUCCCGCCGUUGAAACUGGCGGG
Molecule: ribosomal RNA, 305 nt
Filed under: uncultured bacterium
Lineage: Bacteria
Description: bacterial SSU rRNA
Rfam family: Bacterial small subunit ribosomal RNA
Source: RNAcentral